AACGAACGCUGGCGGCGUGGAUAAGACAUGCAAGUCGAGCGCUGAUUACAGGGUAGCAAUAUUCUGUGGUCGGAGCGGCGCAAGGGUGCGUAACACGUGGGUAAUCUGCCAUGAAGUCUGGAAUAACUUGCUGAAAGGCGAGCUAAUACCGGAUGUGAACAUCGGGCGGCAUCGUUUGAUGUUCAAAGCUGGGGACCGUAAGGCCUGGCGCUUCAUGAUGAGCCCGCGGCCUAUCAGCUAGUUGGUGGGGUAAUGGCUCACCAAGGCUAAGACGGGUAGCUGGUCUGAGAGGACGACCAGCCACACUGGAACUGAGACACGGUCCAGACACCUACGGGAGGCAG
This 344-nucleotide ribosomal RNA is filed under the name uncultured Verrucomicrobiota bacterium. RNAcentral describes it as "bacterial SSU rRNA". It matches the Rfam family "Bacterial small subunit ribosomal RNA", at positions 29 to 351 of the family's 1533-position model. Lineage: Bacteria; Pseudomonadati; Verrucomicrobiota. The record is from RNAcentral.